UGCGUAGGCGGUCGGGUAAGUCGGGUGUGAAAUCCCAGAGCUUAACUCUGGAAGGGCAUCCGAAACUACUUGGCUUGAGAGCUGGAGGGGGGACUGGAAUUCUCGGUGUAGCGGUGAAAUGCGUAGAUAUCGAGAGGAACACCUGUGGCGAAGGCGGGUCCCUGGACAGUUUCUGACGCUGAGGCACGAAAGCUAGGGUAGCAAACG
RNAcentral lists this ribosomal RNA (207 nucleotides) under uncultured bacterium. RNAcentral describes it as "partial 16S ribosomal RNA". It matches the Rfam family "Bacterial small subunit ribosomal RNA", at positions 568 to 774 of the family's 1533-position model. The record is from RNAcentral.